AACCUGCUCAGCAGUGGCAACUGGGUCGGGUCCCCUUCCCCAUUGUGGAAGCUUUGUUCUUUUGCUCUUCACAAUAAAUCUUGCUGCUGCUCACUCCUUGGGUCCGCACUAUCUUUAUGAGCUGUAACACUCAGUGUGAGUUUCUGUGGCUUCAUUCCUGAAAUCAGCAAGACCACGAACCCACGGGGAGAAACGAACAACUCCGGAGGCGCCACCUUUAAGAGCUGUAACACUCACUGCAAAGGUCUGCAGCUCCACUCCUUAAGUCAGAGAGAUCACCAACCCACUGGAAGGAAGAAACUCUGGACACAUCUGAACAUCUGAAGGAACAAACUCUGGACACACCAUCUGUAAGAACUGUAACAUUCACUGCGAGAGUCUGCGGCUUCAUUCUUGAAGUGAGUGAGACCAAGAAUCCACCAGAAGGAACCAAUUCCAGACACAAUAGCAUGUUCUUCCCCUAAUAUUACUCACUGCCCUCCCAUGUGAAGCAAGAUAAAGAACAGGGUAUUCAAUUGACUCUGCUCUUCAUUUGGAGCUGUUGUUCACAGAUUGUAUGUAGAGUUUUUUUCAUUUGCAGAAGACUUGAAAUGCAUCAUACUUGAAAGAGAAAUUGGAC
Molecule: long non-coding RNA, 619 nt
Filed under: Homo sapiens (human)
Lineage: Eukaryota; Metazoa; Chordata; Mammalia; Primates; Hominidae
Description: HSALNT0351315
Source: RNAcentral